AAGUCGUAACAAGGUUUCCGUAGGUGAACCUGCGGAAGGAUCAUUAUCACGUAUCCACGUAUAAACCAUCGCGAACUGUUUUUCCCUUUGAGAUGAUAGGAGCGUGCAUCAACGAACACAUGAAACUCUUUACUGUAAUUUAUGGUUUCCGUUUGUUUUUGCCAAGGGUGCGUCCUGUACCUAUCGUCUUGAAGUGUAUUUUAUAAAUUGCACUUUGAUUAACAAUUUGAACCACAAUUCUUUAAACUUUGAACUGAUCUGUUUCUUACUCUCUUCGGAGAGAAGAAAUUCAUUACGAAA
RNAcentral lists this unclassified non-coding RNA (300 nucleotides) under fungal sp. RNAcentral describes it as "partial contains small subunit ribosomal RNA and internal transcribed spacer 1". The stretch from base 1 to 46 matches the Rfam family "Eukaryotic small subunit ribosomal RNA", at positions 1786 to 1831 of the family's 1831-position model. Lineage: Eukaryota; Fungi. The record is from RNAcentral.